Molecule: long non-coding RNA, 2399 nt
Filed under: Apis mellifera (honey bee)
Lineage: Eukaryota; Metazoa; Arthropoda; Insecta; Hymenoptera; Apidae
Description: uncharacterized LOC102654638
Source: RNAcentral
UCUCGUGGCCCUCUCCGGCGCCCAAUGGUCGAUCGAAGCUUCCGUAAUCACUAUGCAGACUCGUGACCUUGGGGUCCAAUACCAUCCUGCGAACAGAAGACGCAACUAUCAUCGCAAUUGCUCGUCGCAUCGCACGUCAGAUAAGUCGGACGACGUCGGACGAGGAGUUGAAAAAUUUCGCGAAUAUUUUUUUUAUUUGAAUAAAAUAUACAUUGGGUGGACUUAGAUAGAAAAAAAAAAUAAAUUUUCUUUUAAUCGUCGCUUUUCUCUGGCCGUCUCUUUUCAACCAAGCUCCAAGAUGAAAGAUAAUAGCGGCGAAAAUGAAACUUCGAAGCGAUAUAUUACGUUCGAGAUUUUCUAACCAGCCUCGUGAAACCCGCUCAACAGUUGAACAAUUUAAUGGCGCCACGAGAAACGAUAGGUAUCAAUCUAAAUGCAGAUGAACCGGAUUAUUUAUAGACAAUUCUUGCACGUGCAAAUCCAAAUCAUACGGCACAUACACAACAAUAUUAUUCUCUUUAUCGACGAUUUAAAAUCGUUUCGCUGAAGGAAAAUUCAAAGCUGUUUAAAAGAAGCGAAAAUUGAGAUAUGAAUUGUACAUAUAUAUACGUGGCACUCGAUAAGACGUUCGAAGAUCCCGCAUUUAAACCGGAUCGUUGCCGCCGAACGAUACAGUAUAACGUUCUACUUUUAGUUAUCAUCGCAUUGGUGGAGUAAAAGGUUAUCGUGUUAAGGAUACGUGUUGACGUGGCUCGGUUUAAAAGCGACCAGCCUUCGUUGAAAAUCCUGAAAUGGGCGAGGCCGACCAGAUAUCCGGGCAGGAAGUUUGCAGAGACAUUCCGCUGAUAAUAGGCUGACGAUCGUGAUGACGGAGGAAAACGUUAACGAUUAUUACCAUAACGUGACAGUUUGAAAGAUUGUUGAUCUUAACAAGUAUCCGAAUGCUCGGCAUAUUUUAUGAAAAAUAUUAUUUCAUUUUACAGCGUUUUUCGUAACGCAUAAUACGAUAUUGUUUAUCGAAUGGUAAUUUAAGAUAUAAUUAUUAGUCUAUCUUGAAGUAUCUAAUUUUAUAUUUAUUUUACGCUAAUUUAUUUGUUGACUCGAAAAAAUUUAAAUCAAAAUAAAAUUGUAAAUCAUUACGUGUACAACGAAAGGAUUAAAGAUUAAAUAUUUAAAGAAAAUAAUUUUGUAAUAACGAUUUUACGAAACACAGAACCGUGUUGCAAUACAAAGUAAGAAAGAAAAAAGGAUUAAAAAAAAAAGAAAGAAGUUGGAUCAAAUUCUCUUUAUAAUUUAACCUCUUUCCGGUAAUCGAUUUUAACGCUAAUUUAUGGCUUCCAACUUUAAUCGUCUGACACAAUAAAUUGAUUCGGAAAUUAUUUGAAGAUUGCACGGUUAUCUGAUAAUGAUUCCCAUUUUAAUUAACUCCGCGUCAAGAGAUUGUAAACAAUUGGAAACGCGAGUUGCAAUUAAUUAUUGGAUUUAUCCUUUGAAAACGUGCUAACGACUGCAUACGAAAAAUUGUUGAUUGGUUUCUUUUUUUCUUUUCUCUUUUUCCCUUUUCUUAUUUACAUUCAAAAGAUUCGUUCCAUUCACGACGACGAAGAGUAAAAUGAUGCGAGGGAAGAAAAGCUCUAUCGUGGGUGGCGCCGACCGAUAAGAGGAUUUCUUGUAGGCGGAUCUUUGGUUUUACGUAUUGAAUAAAAUGAUAAGUUCUGCGCAGAUAACUCGAUGGUUGAUCGAGUGACAUAAAAACACACGAUGUUUUGUGUUGUUUGAAAAGAAUAAUAAGCAUGAAAUAUUUAGCAUCAAACGGUGAAAUUAUAAACAGAAUUAUGGUGUACAGAAUUGUAUAAAAUAAUACUUUCAUAGAAAAUUAUAUGAAAGUAUUAUUUAACGAUUAAAUUUGUGCAAUUUUCUGCAAAUUUGUUAGAAUUUCUAAGAUAUGAAAUAUUGCUUUUAAUGUUUCAAUCUUUUUAUUAAAUUUUUUUAUUAAAUUACUCUUUGAAAAUUAUCUACUAAUCUGACACUAAUUUUUUAAGAUAAGAUGAGCAAAUUACAUGCUUAAUCAUCAUAAAAUUUGAUCAGAUAAAAAUUAAUCAGAUAACAUGGAUCUUAUAACGUUGUUUGAAAAACCUUACGCAUUUUCUCCAUAUAAUAAAAUGAUGAAAUCGUGGAAAAAGUAUCUCGAAUUAUUCGAGAUAUUUAUAAAAAAGAUUAUUAUUAUUAUUACAUAAAAAUUAAAAAAAAAAAUCAUUGAAAUUGAUCAAUGAUAAGAAUAACAAACAAACAAACAAGUAAUAAGUUUAAGUAUUUCUAUAAGUAUAUUGUCAUAAGUACUUGCAAUAAAAUAUAUUGUCAUAAAACUUGAAGAUCUGCAAUAAAAUUUUUCGAAUAAA